ACGAACGCUGGCGGCGUGCUUAACACAUGCAAGUCGAGCGGUAAGGCCCUUUCGGGGGUACACGAGCGGCGAACGGGUGAGUAACACGUGGGUGACCUGCCCUCAGCUCUGGGAUAAGCCUGGGAAACCGGGUCUAAUACCGGAUAUGACUCCAUGACGCAUGUUGUGGGGUGAAAGCCUUGUGCGGCUGAGGAUGGGCCCG
RNAcentral lists this ribosomal RNA (202 nucleotides) under uncultured bacterium. RNAcentral's name for it is "partial 16S ribosomal RNA". It matches the Rfam family "Bacterial small subunit ribosomal RNA", at positions 29 to 233 of the family's 1533-position model. The record is from RNAcentral.